Molecule: unclassified non-coding RNA, 378 nt
Filed under: plant metagenome
Description: partial contains 5.8S ribosomal RNA, internal transcribed spacer 2, and large subunit ribosomal RNA
Rfam family: 5.8S ribosomal RNA (bases 1-105)
Source: RNAcentral
GAAAUGCGAUAAGUAAUGUGAAUUGCAGAAUUCAGUGAAUCAUCGAAUCUUUGAACGCACCUUGCGCUCCUUGGUAUUCCUUGGAGCAUGCCUGUUUGAGUAUCAUGAAAUCUUCAAAGUAAAUCUUUUGUUAACUCAAUUGGUUUCUACUUUGGUAUUGGAGGUCUUUGCAGCUUCACACCUGCUCCUCUUUGUUCAUUAGCUGGAUCUCAGUGUUAUGCUUGGUUCCACUCGGCGUGAUAAGUUAUCUAUCGCUGAGGGCACUGUAAAAGGUGGCCAAGGUAAAUGCAGAUGAACCGCUUCUAAUAGUCCAUUGACUUGGACAAUACUUUUAUGAUCUGAUCUCAAAUCAGGUAGGACUACCCGCUGAACUUAAGC